CGCCAGACUCCUAUGGGAGGCAGCAGUGGGGGAUAUUGCACAAUGGGGGGAACCCUGAUGCAGCGACGCCGCGUGGGUGAAGAAGUAUUUCGGUAUGUAAAGCCCUAUCGGCAGGGAAGAAUUUAGACGGUACCUGACUAAGAAGCCCCGGCUAACUACGUGCCAGCAGCCGCGGGAAUACGUAGGGGGCAAGCGUUAUCCGGAUUUACUGGGUGUAAAGGGAGCGUAGACGGCAUGGCAAGUCUGAUGUGAACACCCGGGGCUCAACCCCGGGACUGCAUUGGAAACUGUCAGGCUAGAGUGUCGGAGAGGCAAGUGGAAUUCCUAGUGUAGCGGUGAAAUGCGUAGAUAUUAGGAGGAACACCAGUGGCGAAGGCGGCUUGCUGGACGAUGACUGACGUUGAGGCUCGAAAGCGUGGGGAGCAAACAGGAUUAGAUACCCCGGUAA
Molecule: ribosomal RNA, 448 nt
Filed under: uncultured bacterium
Lineage: Bacteria
Description: bacterial SSU rRNA
Rfam family: Bacterial small subunit ribosomal RNA
Source: RNAcentral